Molecule: small RNA, 349 nt
Filed under: Rasamsonia emersonii CBS 393.64
Lineage: Eukaryota; Fungi; Ascomycota; Eurotiomycetes; Eurotiales; Trichocomaceae
Description: A. fumigatus sRNA Afu_309
Rfam family: A. fumigatus sRNA Afu_309
Source: Rfam by way of RNAcentral
UUCCUCACCAACCACACAGAUCUGUGUCCAGCGAUCCCGGCCAGUGUGUUUUCUCUUCGGAGGAACACUACUGUGAUCGGUUGAUUGCUGGUCAGUUCGACGACUAAGGAGCCACCCCGUCUUCGGACAUGGUGUCAAUUUCCUGUCGACAGAUCUCAGAACGAUUGUCAGCUCCGGGGGCACUCUGGCCUUGAGCUCCUUCUCUUCUCUCGGAGGGCUGGUGAGCUCGGUUGGAUCCCUGGCUGCUGGCGGCGCCAUAUUCCUGGUCCCUUCACCGAUUGCGAGUUCUCUGGACUCGCAUGGCCGUCGGCCGGUGAGGUUAGGGAAAAACCAUGGCUGGCCAACAUUU